This 274-nucleotide ribosomal RNA is filed under the name uncultured bacterium. Its description in RNAcentral is "partial 16S ribosomal RNA". It matches the Rfam family "Bacterial small subunit ribosomal RNA", at positions 523 to 796 of the family's 1533-position model. The record is from RNAcentral.
AUACGGAGGGUGCAAGCGUUACUCGGAAUUACUGGGCGUAAAGCGCACGUAGGCGGAUUGGAAAGUUGGGGGUGAAAUCCCAGGGCUCAACCCUGGAACUGCCUCCAAAACUAACAGUCUAGAGUUCGAGAGAGGUGAGUGGAAUUCCAAGUGUAGAGGUGAAAUUCGUAGAUAUUUGGAGGAACACCAGUGGCGAAGGCGGCUCACUGGCUCGAUACUGACGCUGAGGUGCGAAAGCGUGGGGAGCAAACAGGAUUAGAAACCCCAGUAGUCC